RNAcentral lists this ribosomal RNA (505 nucleotides) under uncultured bacterium. RNAcentral's name for it is "partial 16S ribosomal RNA". It matches the Rfam family "Bacterial small subunit ribosomal RNA", at positions 28 to 507 of the family's 1533-position model. The record is from RNAcentral.
GACGAACGCUGGCGGCGUGCCUAAUACAUGCAAGUGGGACGCAAGGAAACACACUGUGCUUGCACACCGUGUUUUCUUGAGUCGCGAACGGGUGAGUAACGCGUAGGUAACCUGCCUAUUAGCGGGGGAUAACUAUUGGAAACGAUAGCUAAUACCGCAUAAUAUUAAUUAUUGCAUGAUAAUUGAUUGAAAGAUGCAAGCGCAUCACUAGUAGAUGGACCUGCGUUGUAUUAGCUAGUUGGUAAGGUAAGAGCUUACCAAGGCGACGAUACAUAGCCGACCUGGGAGGGUGAUCGGCCACACUGGGACUGAGACACGGCCCAGACUCCUACGGGAGGCAGCCGUAGGGAAUCUUCGGCAAUGGACGAAAGUCUUACCGAGCAACGCCGCGUGAGUGAAGAAGGUUUUCGGAUCGUAAAGCUCUGUUGUAAGUCAAGAACGUGUGUGAGGGUGGAAAGUUCACGCAGUGACGGUAGCUUACCAGAAAGGGACGGCUAACUACGUG